RNAcentral lists this ribosomal RNA (253 nucleotides) under uncultured bacterium. RNAcentral describes it as "partial 16S ribosomal RNA". It matches the Rfam family "Bacterial small subunit ribosomal RNA", at positions 524 to 776 of the family's 1533-position model. The record is from RNAcentral.
UACGUAGGGUGCAAGCGUUGUCCGGAAUUAUUGGGCGUAAAGAGCUUGUAGGCGGUUUGUCGCGUCUGCUGUGAAAUUUCGGGGCUCAACCCCGAACUUGCAGUGGGUACGGGCAGACUAGAGUGUGGUAGGGGAGACUGGAAUUCCUGGUGUAGCGGUGAAAUGCGCAGAUAUCGGGAGGAACACCUAUGGCGAAGGCAGCUCGCUGGGACGUUACUGACGCUGAGACGCGAAAGCGUGGGGAGCAAACAGG